GCGGCAAUAGCUCAGUGGUAGAGCCCCCGCUUCGCGUGAGGGAAGACCCGGGUUCCGGGAGACCCGGGUUCGGUUCCCGGCUGCUUCC
Molecule: transfer RNA, 88 nt
Filed under: Toxocara canis (dog roundworm)
Lineage: Eukaryota; Metazoa; Nematoda; Chromadorea; Rhabditida; Toxocaridae
Rfam family: tRNA
About the family: Transfer RNA (tRNA) molecules are approximately 80 nucleotides in length.
Source: Rfam by way of RNAcentral